RNAcentral lists this transfer RNA (69 nucleotides) under Megalamphodus megalopterus (black phantom tetra). Its description in RNAcentral is "Hyphessobrycon megalopterus (black phantom tetra) tRNA-Ser". The record is from RNAcentral. Lineage: Eukaryota; Metazoa; Chordata; Actinopteri; Characiformes; Acestrorhamphidae.
GAGAGAGGUAAUGAAACAGCAAAAACUGCUAAUUUUUGCACCCGUGGCUAAACUCCACGGCUCACUCGC